GAUGAACGCUGGCGGCGUGCCUAAUACAUGCAAGUCGAGCGAACAGACCAGGAGCUUUCUCCUCAGACGUUACCGGCGGAUGGGUGACUAACACGUGGAUAACCUACCUAUCAGACUGGGAUAUCUUCGGGAAACCGGAGCUCAUACCGGAUAUUAUCUUGAACCGCAUGGUUGAAUAGUGAAAGACGGUUUUGCUGUCACUUAUAGAUGGAUCCGCGUCGCAUUAGCUAGAUGGUAAGGUAACGGGUUAACAAGGAGACGAUGCGUAGCCGACCUGAGAGGGUGAUCGGCCACCCUAGAACGUAGACACGGACAAGACACCUACGGGAGGCCCCAGAAGGGAAUCUUCCGCAAUGGGGGAGAGCCUUACGGAGCACCGCCGCGUGUGAUAUAAAGGUCCUCGGAUCGUAAUAACCGGCUAUUAGGGAAAAACAAAUGUGUAAGUAACAGUGCAUGGCGUGACGGUACCUGAUCAAGAAGCCACGGCUAACUACGUG
Molecule: ribosomal RNA, 497 nt
Filed under: uncultured bacterium
Lineage: Bacteria
Description: partial 16S ribosomal RNA
Rfam family: Bacterial small subunit ribosomal RNA
Source: RNAcentral